RNAcentral lists this ribosomal RNA (468 nucleotides) under uncultured bacterium. Its description in RNAcentral is "partial 16S ribosomal RNA". It matches the Rfam family "Bacterial small subunit ribosomal RNA", at positions 28 to 507 of the family's 1533-position model. The record is from RNAcentral.
GACGAACGCUGGCGGCGUGCUUAACACAUGCAAGUCGAACGGAAAGGCCCUGCUUUUGUGGGGUGCUCGAGUGGCGAACGGGUGAGUAACACGUGAGUAACCUGCCCUUGACUUUGGGAUAACUUCAGGAAACUGGGGCUAAUACCGGAUAGGAGCUCCUGCUGCAUGGUGGGGGUUGGAAAGUUUCGGCGGUUGGGGAUGGACUCGCGGCUUAUCAGCUUGUUGGUGGGGUAGUGGCUUACCAAGGCUUUGACGGGUAGCCGGCCUGAGAGGGUGACCGGCCACAUUGGGAAUGAGAUACCGCCCAGACUCCUACGGGAGGCAGCAGUGGGGAAUAUUGCACAAUGGGCGGAAGCCUGAUGCAGCAACGCCGCGUGCGGGAUGACGGCCUUCGGGUUGUAAACCGCUUUCGCCUGUGACGAAGCGUGAGUGACGGUAAUGGGUAAAGAAGCACCGGCUAACUACGUG